GACGAACGCUGGCGGCGUGCUUAACACAUGCAAGUCGAACGGAAAGACCCUGCUUUUGUGGGGUGCUUGAGUGGCGAACGGGUGAGUAACACGUGAGUAACCUGCCCUUGACUUUGGGAUAACUUCAGGAAACUGGGGCUAAUACCGGAUAGGAGCUCCUGCUGCAUGGUGGGGGUUGGAAAGUUUCGGCGGUUGGGGAUGGACUCGCGGCUUAUCAGCUUGUUGGUGGGGUAGUGGCUUACCAAGGCUUUGACGGGUAGCCGGCCUGAGAGGGUGACCGGCCACAUUGGGACUGAGAUACGGCCCAGACUCCUACGGGAGGCAGCAGUGGGGAAUAUUGCACAAUGGGCGGAAGCCUGAUGCAGCAACGCCGCGUGCGGGAUGACGGCCUUCGGGUUGUAAACCGCUUUCGCCUGUGACGAAGCGUGAGUGACGGUAAUGGGUAAAGAAGCACCGGCUAACUACGUG
This 468-nucleotide ribosomal RNA is filed under the name uncultured bacterium. Its description in RNAcentral is "partial 16S ribosomal RNA". It matches the Rfam family "Bacterial small subunit ribosomal RNA", at positions 28 to 507 of the family's 1533-position model. The record is from RNAcentral.